RNAcentral lists this ribosomal RNA (330 nucleotides) under uncultured Hyphomicrobiales bacterium. RNAcentral's name for it is "bacterial SSU rRNA". It matches the Rfam family "Bacterial small subunit ribosomal RNA", at positions 568 to 898 of the family's 1533-position model. Lineage: Bacteria; Pseudomonadati; Pseudomonadota; Alphaproteobacteria; Hyphomicrobiales. The record is from RNAcentral.
CGCGCAGGCGGCCUUUCAAGUCAGGGGUGAAAGCCCGGAGCUCAACUCCGGAAUUGCCUUUGAAACUGUCAGGCUCGAGUACGGGAGAGGUGAGUGGAAUUCCCAGUGUAGAGGUGAAAUUCGUAGAUAUUGGGAAGAACACCGGUGGCGAAGGCGGCUCACUGGCCCGUUUCUGACGCUCAGGCGCGACAGCGUGGGGAUCAAACAGGAUUAGAUACCCUGGUAGUCCACGCCGUAAACUAUGAACGCUAGCCGUUGGCAGGCUUGCCUGUCAGUGGCGCAGCUAACGCAUUAAGCGUUCCGCCUGGGGAGUACGGCCGCAAGGUUGAA